This is a long non-coding RNA of Dreissena polymorpha, 781 nucleotides long. RefSeq lists it as uncharacterized. The record is from RefSeq and is a predicted model, not a curated record. The transcript is spliced from 3 exons. NCBI's taxonomy places the organism in Eukaryota, Metazoa, Mollusca, Bivalvia, Myida, Dreissenidae.
AAACACGGUGCCUAUACCACGUGACUUUUUAAGAUCUGUGUGGGGAGUAAAAUAUCAACAAAAGCGCGACGAAGGUAUGGCUCAAUGCUCCGAAUGCGGAAAAAUGUCGAAGACCAGAGCUGGAUUAUUGCGCCACAUUAGGGGACACGCUAACUCUGGAAACUAUAACUGCUGUGGGAAAGCAUUUCAGGAUGCCUACAAUCUUAGAAGGCUUCAACGAACAAAGGACCCCAAUGUCACGUGUGUGUACAGUGCGGCAGGAGCUUUGCGGACAAGUACCUACUCGUGGCUAGAGAGAAAAGUUCAAAAAAGAGGGAUUGGUGAAAUGUUACCAGUGUGGGUUGGCAGUUAGGAGUGAGAAUGACCUCAGAGAGCACGUCAAUAUUCACAUGCAUGACAAGUGUUACAGUAGUGAGGAGUGUUUCAAAACGUACAAACGCAAAACAAACCUUUCUCGAUACGUGAGGACUUCACAUAAAUCCGUGAAUACUGAUUAAAAAUCAUAAUAGUUUACAGUUUGUCUGUGUAACUUCAUUAUCGUUUUACGUUAUUUUAUUCGUUGUUUUACUUUUACUUUACUUUUCAAAAUGAUUCUAAAGUUAUCCGAAUUUGAUUAAUUUUUAGGUUUCGUUUAGUUCGUUUGUGUGUUUGAAAUCAUUCUCAAAUAAUUGUGCAAUAAUUUGGAUUUAAGUUAUUCAUUAAUAUAUCGCAUCUGUGAUUUGUAUUAUCGAAUCUGUGAUUCUUUUUUUUAAUUAUAACUUGAUUAAAGUUUUGCGAUGUU